RNAcentral lists this ribosomal RNA (497 nucleotides) under uncultured bacterium. RNAcentral describes it as "partial 16S ribosomal RNA". It matches the Rfam family "Bacterial small subunit ribosomal RNA", at positions 28 to 507 of the family's 1533-position model. The record is from RNAcentral.
GAUGAACGCUGGCGGCGUGCCUAAUACAUGCAAGUCGAGCGAACAGAUAAGGAGCUUGCUCCUUUGAAGUUAGCGGCGGACGGGUGAGUAACACGUGGGUAACCUACCUAUAAGACUGGGAUAACUUCGGGAAACCGGAGCUAAUACCGGAUAACAUUUAGAACCGCAUGGUUCUAAAGUGAAAGAUGGUUUUGCUAUCACUUAUAGAUGGACCCGCGCCGUAUUAGCUAGUUGGUAAGGUAACGGCUUACCAAGGCGACGAUACGUAGCCGACCUGAGAGGGUGAUCGGCCACACUGGAACUGAGACACGGUCCAGACUCCUACGGGAGGCAGCAGUAGGGAAUCUUCCGCAAUGGGCGAAAGCCUGACGGAGCAACGCCGCGUGAGUGAUGAAGGGUUUCGGCUCGUAAAACUCUGUUAUUAGGGAAGAACAAAUGUGUAAGUAACUGUGCACAUCUUGACGGUACCUAACCAGAAAGCCACGGCUAACUACGUG